GACGAACGCUGGCGGCGUGCCUAAUACAUGCAAGUAGAACGCUGAAGGAGGAGCUUGCUCUUCUGGAUGAGUUGCGAACGGGUGAGUAACGCGUAGGUAACCUGCCUGGUAGCGGGGGAUAACUAUUGGAAACGAUAGCUAAUACCGCAUAACAGUAGAUGUUGCAUGACAUUUGCUUAAAAGGUGCAAUUGCAUCACUACCAGAUGGACCUGCGUUGUAUUAGCUAGUUGGUGGGGUAACGGCUCACCAAGGCGACGAUACAUAGCCGACCUGAGAAGGUGAUCGGCCACAAUGGGACUGAGACACGGCCCAGACUCCUACGGGAGGCAGCAGUAGGGAAUCUUCGGCAAUGGACGGAAGUCUGACCGAGCAACGCCGCGUGAGUGAAGAAGGUUUUCGGAUCGUAAAGCUCUGUUGUAAGAGAAGAACGAGUGUGAGAGUGGAAAGUUCACACUGUGACGGUAUCUUACCAGAAAGGGACGGCUAACUACGUG
RNAcentral lists this ribosomal RNA (495 nucleotides) under uncultured bacterium. RNAcentral's name for it is "partial 16S ribosomal RNA". It matches the Rfam family "Bacterial small subunit ribosomal RNA", at positions 28 to 507 of the family's 1533-position model. The record is from RNAcentral.